AUUGAACGCUGGCGGCAGGCCUAACACAUGCAAGUCGAACGGCAACAGGAAACAGCUUGCUGUUUCGCUGACGAGUGGCGGACGGGUGAGUAAUGUCUGGGAAACUGCCUGAUGGAGGGGGAUAACUACUGGAAACGGUAGCUAAUACCGCAUAACGUCGCAAGACCAAAGAGGGGGACCUUCGGGCCUCUUGCCAUCGGAUGUGCCCAGAUGGGAUUAGCUAGUAGGUGGGGUAACGGCUCACCUAGGCGACGAUCCCUAGCUGGUCUGAGAGGAUGACCAGCCACACUGGAACUGAGACACGGUCCAGACUCCUACGGGAGGCAGCAGUGGGGAAUAUUGCACAAUGGGCGCAAGCCUGAUGCAGCCAUGCCGCGUGUAUGAAGAAGGCCUUCGGGUUGUAAAGUACUUUCAGCGGGGAUGAAGGGAGUAAAGUUAAUACCUUUGCUCAUUGACGUUACCCGCAGAAGAAGCACCGGCUAACUCCGUG
Molecule: ribosomal RNA, 490 nt
Filed under: uncultured bacterium
Lineage: Bacteria
Description: partial 16S ribosomal RNA
Rfam family: Bacterial small subunit ribosomal RNA
Source: RNAcentral